This 1463-nucleotide long non-coding RNA is filed under the name Manihot esculenta (cassava). RNAcentral describes it as "long non-coding RNA (MESC_LNC005231)". The record is from RNAcentral. Lineage: Eukaryota; Viridiplantae; Streptophyta; Magnoliopsida; Malpighiales; Euphorbiaceae.
CCGAUAUCGGAAUUUCAACCGUCCGGUGGAAUCUCGGAUGUCGAAAACCUCUAGAAGGGUAAAACCAGGUUUUUAUAAAAUGUUUUCAUGUAUUUUAAUGUUUUGAGCAUGAAAUUACAUGAGCUUUUGCAUGAAUAAUCUUUGGAGGAAAACCCAGGUUCGGCCGCCGAAAGUCAAGUUCGGCCGCCGAACAUGCAUGUGUUUUGGAGGCACGUUAGGCCUCCGAAAGCAUGAGUGAGGGAAGUCCAGGUUCGGCCGCCGAAAGUCAAGUUCGGCCGCCGAACAUUGCAUGGAUUCGGAGGCACAUUCGGCCCCCGAACGUGGCCUGGCCAGCCACCUAUAAAAAGGGGACAUAGCCGAAACGGGUGAGUUUUCUCCCAUUUUCGGCCACAGCUAGCUUCCAACCUCCCUCUCCCAAAUCUUUUGUUCUUCCUCCAAAUCCCCACCAUUUUUCUUAAGUUUUGAGCUUGCAUUGAAGGUUUUGAGCUUUUAAAACAAGUUUUGGAGCUUGGGAGACUCAGGAGCCCAUUUGCUUGGUCCGAGUUUAGGUCGUCUCUCUCUCGAUCUUCAAGAGGUAAGAGCCGAUCUUGAGCUCAAUGUAUGUUUUUAACAAGUUUUAAGUAGAUUUAUGGGGUAGAAAUGCAUGUUAGGGUUAUUUGAAUAUUUGGGUUUAUAUUAUGAUUUCGAACAAUGUGUGUUGAUUGUGUGUGUUUGAAGUGUUGUAGUUGGGGUAUAUGACUGUUUGAGACCCCUAGGAACUUGUAUGCAUGUUUUGGUUGAGAUUUAUGCAUGAUUUGAGGUUUUGGGAGGCAAGGGGUUCAUGUGAACCAAGUUUCUGCCCUUCUGGCAGAAACCAGGUUCGGCCGCCGAAGGGAGUUUCGGCCGCCGAACCCCCUUGUGGAGGCAGCAUUCGGCUGCCGAAGCUUGCCCCCGAAAGGAGACUUUCAUCUCUGUCUGGGACUUUCGGCCGCCGAAGGUGCCGCCGAAAGUGCCUGACUUUCGGCUCUGGAGGGACUUUCGGCCGCCGAACCUGCCGCCGAAAGUGCCCUGUCCAGCCAUUUCAUGCAUGUGUUUCUAUGAUUAUUUUAUGAUGUUCUAGGGGGUUUUUGGGGAGUUUAUUAGAGUUAUGUUUAUAUAUGUUUGGUCCUUCAUUGGAGUCCACCUGUGUAGGUUCGGACCCGAGGAACCGAGGACCCCAGCAGUGAGAUAGCUGCUUCAGAGUCUGUAGAGCUUCAGCCAAAGGUGAGUGGAAUAACCUUAAGUCUUUAAACAAACGAAAUAUAACUUUUGAGCACGUUCAUGCAUCAUAUAUGCCAUGUGAUAUUAUAGGGUGUUUGCAUUAGUUUUCACGAAUAUGUUGCAUUGCAUAAUUUGAUGUGGAUGUGGAUUGGUUAUUGAAUGAUCCUUUAGUCCUCUUAUGCUAUGAUAUGAUGAUGUUAUGGUAGAGAAAGACCAGUGAGNNN